AGCCCCGGCUAACUCCGUGCCAGCAGCCGCGGUAAUACGGAGGGUGCGAGCGUUAAUCGGAAUUACUGGGCGUAAAGCGCAUGCAGGUGGUUUGUUAAGUCAGAUGUGAAAGCCCGGGGCUCAACCUCGGAAUUGCAUUUGAAACUGGCAGGCUAGAGUACUAUAGAGGGGGGUAGAAUUCCAGGUGUAGCGGUGAAAUGCGUAGAGAUCUGAAGGAAUACCGGUGGCGAAGGCGGCCCCCUGGACAGAUACUGACACUCAGAUGCGAAAGCGUGGGGAGCAAACAGGAUUAGAUACCCUGGUAGUCCACGCCGUAAACGAUGUCUACUUGGAGGUUGUGGCCUUGCGCCGUGGCUUUCCAAGCUAACGCGUUAA
This 375-nucleotide ribosomal RNA is filed under the name Vibrio sp. J27q-4b. RNAcentral describes it as "bacterial SSU rRNA". It matches the Rfam family "Bacterial small subunit ribosomal RNA", at positions 488 to 863 of the family's 1533-position model. The record is from RNAcentral. Lineage: Bacteria; Pseudomonadati; Pseudomonadota; Gammaproteobacteria; Vibrionales; Vibrionaceae.